AUUGAACGCUGGCGGCAUGCCUUACACAUGCAAGUCGAACGGCAGCACGGAGCUUGCUCUGGUGGCGAGUGGCGAACGGGUGAGUAAUAUAUCGGAACGUACCCAAGAGUGGGGGAUAACGUAGCGAAAGUUACGCUAAUACCGCAUACGAUCUAAGGAUGAAAGCAGGGGAUCGCAAGACCUUGUGCUCCUGGAGCGGCCGAUAUCUGAUUAGCUAGUUGGUGAGGUAAAGGCUCACCAAGGCAACUGUCAGUAGCUGGUCUGAAGGGACGACCAGCCACACGGGAACUAGGACACGGUCCAGACUCCUACGGGAGGCAGCAGUGGGGAAUUUUGGAAAAUGGGGGCAACCCCGAUCCAGCAAUGCCGCGUGAGUGAAGAAGGCCUUCGGGUUGUAAAGCUCUUUUGUCAGGGAAGAAACGGUGAAGGCUAAUAUCCUUUGCUAAUGACGGUACCUGAAGAAUAAGCACCGGCUAACUACGUGCCAGCAGCCGCCGUAA
This 500-nucleotide ribosomal RNA is filed under the name uncultured bacterium. RNAcentral's name for it is "partial 16S ribosomal RNA". It matches the Rfam family "Bacterial small subunit ribosomal RNA", at positions 30 to 523 of the family's 1533-position model. The record is from RNAcentral.